RNAcentral lists this ribosomal RNA (542 nucleotides) under Metarhizium reniforme. Its description in RNAcentral is "LSU rRNA". It matches the Rfam family "Eukaryotic large subunit ribosomal RNA", at positions 74 to 638 of the family's 3401-position model. The record is from RNAcentral. Lineage: Eukaryota; Fungi; Ascomycota; Sordariomycetes; Hypocreales; Clavicipitaceae.
AUUGCCCCAGUAACGGCGAGUGAAGCGGCAACAGCUCAAAUUUGAAAUCUGGCCCCCGGGGCCCGAGUUGUAAUUUGCAGAGGAUGCUUCGGGCGAGGUGCCUUCCGAGUUCCCUGGAACGGGACGCCACAGAGGGUGAGAGCCCCGUCUGGCUGGACGCCGAGCCUCUGUGAAGCUCCUUCGACGAGUCGAGUAGUUUGGGAAUGCUGCUCUAAACGGGAGGUAUAUGUCUUCUAAAGCUAAAUACCGGCCAGAGACCGAUAGCGCACAAGUAGAGUGAUCGAAAGAUGAAAAGCACUUUGAAAAGAGGGUUAAACAGUACGUGAAAUUGUUGAAAGGGAAGCGCUCAUGACCAGACUUGGGCCCGGUGAAUCAUCCAGCGUUCUCGCCGGUGCACUUUGCCGGGCCCAGGCCAGCAUCGGCUCGCCCCGGGGGAUAAAGGCCCUGGGAACGUGGCUCCUUCGGGAGUGUUAUAGCCCACCGCACAAUACCCCGUGGCGGACCGAGGUUCGCGCAUCUUGCAAGGAUGCUGGCGUAAUGGU